This 1181-nucleotide long non-coding RNA is filed under the name Anolis carolinensis (green anole). RNAcentral's name for it is "lncRNA (ENSACAG00000041817.1)". Lineage: Eukaryota; Metazoa; Chordata; Lepidosauria; Squamata; Anolidae. The record is from RNAcentral.
ACAAGGAUGUUGCCCAGGGGACGCCUGGGUGUUUUACCAUCCUGUGGGAGGCUUUCUCUCUGUGGGAGCUGACAGACAGGAGUUCUGUUGGCACCAGGGUUUCCCCCAUUGCGACACCCGUGAACCGUGAGAAACCGGGGAGACCAGGAACGGGCUGCAAGCAUUCCUCUGAGCCAGAAAUCUAUGUUUUGUGGAGAAAAGAAAUCCCGCCAGAGGCAUUUUGCAUUUUGCAAUCUGUGGAUGCCACCUUGAUGCUGCUCCCAUCAAGGGCUCUUUCAUCGAGCAGCGCCUGUCUUAUGCCACUGGAAUAUUAGCACCGCAUUUUGCUUCAUCAACAUUCUGCAAAUAUUCAUCUCCGGUUAUUUAAAUUAUUGAUUACACAACAAUAUCAAAUCAACUUGUGGUUUUAUGAGCCGAAACCCGGGUUUUGAUGAGCAGGUGAACGCAUUGGCCAUUUCUACGGGGAGGGCAAUGCAGACUUAAGGCAGGAAGCCCUGCUCGAUUAGUCCAUCUGCCGCAGCCAUGGGGCGUGAAGGGCAACUUCUGCCCGGGAGGCAACGGAGCAGGUUUCUUCUCUACCAAGAAAGUAAUGGAGCAGCUCUGGAAUAUUUUAUUUAAAGACCCUAAAAAUCCGUUACCUAGAUGACCCUUACUCAAAAAUCUUGUUUUUCCAUGAAAGUUUCAACAGAACAUGUUCUGCCUGACAUAAGGUCAUGCAAACUACAGUAAUGAUUUGGCUGCUGGAUGAUGCAUACGUGGGAUGAACUAUGAACAUGUCACCUGAGGAUAGUGCAUACGUGGAGCAAACUAUGGACACUUCACCUGAUGUGAUGAGUAAUGAGUUAUAUAAGUUACCAGGCAACUACGCAUGUCCAAAAGGAUUGUAAUAGUCAGCAAAUUCCAUUGUCAGUUAGCUUUCUGUGCAUGCUUCUGUAAAAUUGUAUAAAUUGGAAAGCCACUACAGGCAAGAUGUGGCAUUGCGUUUUUUGGGCAUUAGCGAACAUUGUCACCUGCUCUUGGACAACUUCUGCUGUCAGUCUGCUUUCUUCACCCGCGUCCAAACGAAAUUCCACAACAAAAGGAAAUCCCUCCUGGCACCACAAAUGGCCCUUCGAUGGCCAAGAGGACCAACCUCACUCCAAUAUGAAGGGCAAUGGAUGUUCCUCUCCAUGUCUGCUUGA